CCUACGGGGGGCAGCAGUGGGGGAUAUUGCACAAUGGGGGAAACCCUGAUGCAGCGACGCCGCGUGAGCGAUGAAGUAUUUCGGUAUGUAAAGCUCUAUCAGCAGGGAAGAAAAUGACGGUACCUGACUAAGAAGCCCCGGCUAACUACGUGCCAGCAGCCGCGGUAAUACGUAGGGGGCAAGCGUUAUCCGGAUUUACUGGGUGUAAAGGGAGCGUAGACGGCAGUGCAAGUCUGAAGUGAAAGGCAAGGGCUCAACCCGCGGACGGCACAUGAUACUGCGAGACUAGAGUAAUGGAGGGGGAA
RNAcentral lists this ribosomal RNA (305 nucleotides) under uncultured bacterium. RNAcentral's name for it is "bacterial SSU rRNA". It matches the Rfam family "Bacterial small subunit ribosomal RNA", at positions 338 to 660 of the family's 1533-position model. The record is from RNAcentral.